RNAcentral lists this ribosomal RNA (460 nucleotides) under uncultured bacterium. Its description in RNAcentral is "partial 16S ribosomal RNA". It matches the Rfam family "Bacterial small subunit ribosomal RNA", at positions 338 to 795 of the family's 1533-position model. The record is from RNAcentral.
CCUACGGGAGGCAGCAGUGAGGAAUAUUGGUCAAUGGGCGCGAGUCUGAACCAGCCAAGUCGCGUGAAGGAAGACUGCCCUAUGGGUUGUAAACUUCUUUUAUAAAGGGGUAAAGUCAGGCACGUGUGCCUUUUUGUAUGUACUUUAUGAAUAAGGAUCGGCUAACUCCGUGCCAGCAGCCGCGGUAAUACGGAGGAUCCGAGCGUGAUCCGGAUUGAUUGGGUUUAAAGGGAGGGUAGGCGGGCUGAUAAGUCAGUUGUGAAAGGUUGAGGCUCAACUUCAGAAUUGCAUUUGAUACUGGCAGGCUUGAGAACAGUUGAGGUAGGCGGAAUGCGUGGUGUAGCGGUGAAAUGCUUAGAGAUCAUGAAGAACACCGAUUGCGAAGGCAGCCUACUAAGCUACCUCUGACAUUGAUGCACGAAAGUGUGGGGAUCAAACAGGAUUAGAUACCCUGGUAGUC